Non-coding RNA from Lontra canadensis (Northern American river otter), 741 nucleotides. Lineage: Eukaryota; Metazoa; Chordata; Mammalia; Carnivora; Mustelidae. The record is from the annotation of a RefSeq genome assembly.
AUGGCCUGGGCCAUGGUCCUCUUCAUGCUCUUCUGUCACUGCACAGGUUCCCUGUCCCAGCCUGUGCUGACCCAGCCUCCCUCCCUCUCUGCAUCCCUGCGAUCAUCAGCCAGACUCACCUGCACCCUGAGCAGGGACAUAAAUGUUGGUAGUAAAAACAUGUACUGGUACCAGCAGAAGCCCGGAAGCCAUCCCCAUUUUUUCCUGUACUACUACUCAGACUCAGAUAAGCAGCUGGGACCUGGGGUCCCCAGUCGUGUCUCCGGAUCCAAAGAUACCUCCACCAAUACGGCAAUUAUGCUCAUCUCUGGGCUGCAGCCUGAGGACGAGGCUGACUAUUACUGUGCUAUAGCUCAUGGCAGUGGGAGCAGUUUUCAUUACCCACAGUGUCUCAGACAACAAGGAAAUGAGACAAAAACCCCUGGACACACAGACCUUGUCUCUGAGCCUCUUUUAUUGAGAAAUUUCUUGGGGCUUCCUGUCCUGCAGGUGCACCAGGCCCCACCAUUCCAUGGAUGUCAGCAGCCGGCAGCCUGCCAGACACAAGAGAUGCCAUCUCCUUCUGGCCAGGAGCUAAUGCAGCCUGCAGUCCUGCACCUGGCAGCACCAUCACAGCCCAGCAUCUCCAGCUGGAGCUGGUUCCUGACCAUUCUGCUGGUCCCUCCACAGAGCAGUCCCAGGCCAUUCCAGGCUCACUCCCACCUGCAGAGCUUGAUUCGAGAUUCAGGUAGUGUGAUAUGA